AGUGAACGCUGGCGGUAGGCCUAACACAUGCAAGUCGAACGGCAGCACAGUAAGAGCUUGCUCUUACGGGUGGCGAGUGGCGGACGGGUGAGGAAUACAUCGGAAUCUACUUUUUCGUGGGGGAUAACGUAGGGAAACUUACGCUAAUACCGCAUACGACCUACGGGUGAAAGCAGGGGAUCUUCGGACCUUGCGCGAUUGAAUGAGCCGAUGUCGGAUUAGCUAGUUGGCGGGGUAAAGGCCCACCAAGGCGACGAUCCGUAGCUGGUCUGAGAGGAUGAUCAGCCACACUGGAACUGAGACACGGUCCAGACUCCUACGGGAGGCAGCAGUGGGGAAUAUGGGACAAUGGGCGCAAGCCUGAUCCAGCCAUACCGCGUGGGUGAAGAAGGCCUUCGGGUUGUAAAGCCCUUUUGUUGGGAAAGAAAAGCAGCAGGUUAAUACCCCGCUGUUCUGGCGGUACCCAAAGAAGAAGCACCGGCUAACUUCGU
RNAcentral lists this ribosomal RNA (491 nucleotides) under uncultured bacterium. RNAcentral's name for it is "partial 16S ribosomal RNA". It matches the Rfam family "Bacterial small subunit ribosomal RNA", at positions 29 to 506 of the family's 1533-position model. The record is from RNAcentral.